This 5888-nucleotide long non-coding RNA is filed under the name Sus scrofa (pig). RNAcentral's name for it is "lncRNA (ENSSSCG00065070659.1)". Lineage: Eukaryota; Metazoa; Chordata; Mammalia; Artiodactyla; Suidae. The record is from RNAcentral.
AUGGACUUCUAUAGAUGUACAUAAUAGAUGUUAAAUUAUCUCACUGAAACAGUGUUUGGGAAUUCAGUUCUGCAGUAAUCUUUUAUUCACUCAUUAGCAGUAUUUAUGGAGCACAUCCGAUGUGCCAGGCUCUGUCGUAUUGGCGGAGAUAAUCCAGAUAUUGGGAGACAAGGUAAAUAUUUGUAUUGCCUUGAUGGUGCUCGAGGCCCAAGGGGUGGUUUAGAGGUGCAGAGUUGUAAUCGGCUGAGGGUCCUGGAAUGCAGGCUUGGGGCAUUGAGUACACUGCGCUGGGGGCCGAAGGGCGGAGGUCCCCGCCCCCCAGAGGUAGAAGAGCAGCUUCCUUGUAUGAAGUUCAAGGCUGGAGGAGGGAAAGCCAGGUGGCUGGGAAGCAUCUCAGGACAGGAGCCUGGGGAGACACACAGGCACUUGGUGUUGGUACUGAGAUGCGGGAGCUCCAUCCUGAGGGGCCCAGGGACUUGAGCUGGGUAUUACGUCACCAGGGCUUGUGUCUGCAGCAGGUCAGGCUGGUCUUUGUCAGGGAUAGAGUGUGGUGGUUCUGGACAGCUGGCUGGACCACUGUGGAGGUGCUUAGGGUCGUUCCAGCGGGACCCAGAAGUGGCCCCAGCUUGGGUAGGGCUGGAGGGGUGGGAGGUGGGUGUGGGGACAGAGGCAGGAUGGGAGGGGAAGAGGGGGGUGGCCUUGGGUUCUGGCUUAAGGCUUCAGCUCUCUCAGAGGAGCCAUGCCUAGAGCGGGGAACUGGGCAGGAGGAACCUGACAAAACCAGUUCCAGAUGACCUUCAAGUUCAAGAUGCCUCUUGGCAGGUGACUCUGUGGGACUGAAGUGGAGAAGAAUGAUUCUUGUUGGAACGGAUAAAUAUUUAAUAGCUCCCAUCGUUGAAGUUCGGUCAAGAUCAGCCAGUUCUACUCUGAGAGACUCAACAACAUGAAUUAUUACUAAGAUACUGGGUUACUGAGUCAGGGCUCUGCCCUAGACCUCCCUUCAGGCAGGUGAACCUCACCUAUGCUUCUUCACCUGGAAAAUGAUGACAGAAGCCACACUUACUUCUGUGCUUGCUAAGAAAAUGAGCAGUGCGGGUGAACCGAGCCUGGCAGAGACCACGUCCAGGGCGUUAGCUGCUGUCAGUUUCUCUAAGGCUGAACAGUCGUCCUUAAUGACUGGGGAGACCCAGGUGUUUUCUUGUCUAAACGUCACGGUCACUUCCUCUCCUUGGCGUCUCCUGCUUGUCGAUGCUCUGAUGUUGCCUUGUUUUACAGUCUGCUUGCUGGUAGUGCCUUAAAGGGAGGAUGGGAAAAACUGUGUCUUGUCAACACAGAUGUAGUUCCCAGGCUUGCUGCCCCUAGUUCAGAGGAUCUCAAUCUAGGGGACAAAGGUCAUAUCUGCACACACAAUAGAUACAGCCACUGCCCUGACUUUGCCGUGUUAAUAUUGGAAUUUUCUAUGUCGGAUAGUCCUAGUGUCAUAAUAUACAGUCUAUCUGGAACAGUGGGGCAGGGCUGGGGUCUGUACACAUAUGCCGGGAUGGAUUAAAUGCAGUUAGAUCAGGAUGACCCACUUGAUGAAAAAGAAGAGUUUCCAUUUUGGUUUUGUUGUUCAAGGUCAUACAUGCAGUUUAUUUUUUUCUUUUCCAUUAUGGUUUAUUAAGGAUAUUGAAUAGAGUUCCCUGUGCUGUACAAAGGGAUGUGUGUAUCUGUGUAACUGAAUCACUUUGUUGUAUACCAGACAUUAUCACAACAUUGUAAAUCAACCAUACUUCAAUAAAACUUUGAUUUUUUCUUUUUUUAGUUUUACCUAUCACAUUUAGGUCUUUCUUUCUUUAUUUUUGUCUUUUUUGUCUUCUUAGAGCCACACCCACAGCAUAUGGAGGUUCCCAGGCUCGGGGUCUAAUUGGAGCUGUUGCUGCCAGACUACACCACAGCCACAGCAAUGGGGGAUCCAAGCCGAGUUUUUGACCUACACCACAGCUUACGGCAACACCAGAUCCUCAACCCGGCUGAGUGAGGCCAGGGAUUGAACCCUCGUCCUCAUGGAUGCUAGUCUGGUUCGCUAACCACUGAGCCAUAACAGGAACUCCUUUUUUUUUUUUUUAGUUUUACCUUUCCCAUUUAGGUCUUUAUUUAUUUAUUUAUUUAUUUAUUGUCUUUUCUUUUUAGGGCCACACCCAUGGCAUAUGGAGGUUCCCAAGCUAGGAGUCGAAUCAGAGCUGUAGCCACCGGCCUACACCAGAGCCACAGCAACGCCAGAUCCGAGCCGCGUCUGCCACCUAAAGCACAGCUCAUGGCAACGGCAGAUCCUUAACUCAUUGAGAGAGGCCAGGGAUUGAACCCGCAACCUCAUGGUUCCUAGUCAGAUUUGCUUCCGCUGCGCCAUGAUGGGAACUCCAAGGUCUUUAUUUAUUUAUUUAUUUAUUUUUAUUUUUUUAUUUUUUUAAUUUUUAAAAAUUAAAAGAAAAUAGUAGGGUAUUGGAUAGUUGGUUCACGGGCAUAGUACCAGUUCUGUAGGCAUCUCAUUCUUCUGCAUUGAUUGAUUUACUGUAAAAGGGUAAAAAAACCAAACCAAACCAAAACCAAAACGCUGCCAGAGAGGAGCCCUCUUCGUGAGCGGAGCUUCCAUAGCUGUGGGGACGCGUCUUCCAACCCUUGGGAGGAAAGCCACCACUGCUGGUGCCUGUUGGGUUAGGAGGAUGAUUCUGAUUCCUAAGAGAAGCCAACAUUCCCAGCAAAAUUCUGCAUCAGGGGAGGAAUUCAUGUAUAUUGUUGCUUUCAAGAUGCUUUGUCAGAGGAACAACUUAAUGUUUAAUUUCUGGCAGUUCUCAAAAUUCAUCAUGAGAGCAUUUUGAGAAAAUAAUCUGCUAAAAUAUUGGUAUCAUUGUGCUAUGGAUGUUAGAGCAAAAAGUAAGAGUUUUUUUUUAGCGUUGUGGAGAAAUUGUAUUUUUCCAUUAUAUUGUUAUUAAACAUCAGAGAUUAAGACAAUGUCUAAAACUAAGAAAAAUUAACCCUCUCUCCCUCCAUUCCCUGGGUUUUGGGAUUUAAAAGACCAGCUUGUUUCUUGCUGAAAUAUGAAAUCUGAUAUUUUGAUUUGUCUGGAUUCCUUGCCAAAAGUUAUAGACUUUGAUUAAUAGUUUAUUUCUUAUUAUUCUAAAUCUUAUUUUAUAAUAGUUAAGCUGGAGAAAUAAUUCCAUUCAUCAAAAUAACAGGAAAUGAGAAAAUAAAUGGCAGCCUCAUUUGUCUCAUUUUUAGCUACCGAGAUUGUAAUGCAGAUGAUGGGAAAUCAUGUAGCUUGGUCUAUUUGAAUGUAUGUAUAAUAUGUUUUCAGUGUCACAGAUCUCAUCUCCAAAUUCAGCUGCUUUGUCUCAGCAAUUUUCUUACUCACGAAACCAAACAUCUUGAAACACAGUAUCCAUUUUUGCCAUUAAAGAUGACAUAGGGUGAAGAGUUGUGAGGAUAACUAGCGAUUUAUCUAGAGUGACCUGUGACCUGUAACGGCGUGUUGAUCGCUUGCUGAGAAAUGUCCUACUCAGUAGGGUUCUCUCUGUGUCCUUCAGCGUUGAGCAUCAGCUUCUGUGUCUAACACAGGCCUUGUUCCACAGGCCAAGCCCCUCUGGAGGCUGAGAUCCUGGGGUGCGGGAGCAGAGGCUUGGUGUGUGUAUGUCAGUGACCCCUGCCCAUGAGCUCAUCUGCAUCCCCUUCCCUUGUAAGCAGAAAGGAGAAAAGUAAGCCUCCCCAGAAGUUCCAGAAGCCAGUGUUCAUCCCUGGGACAUUGAAGGCCUCAAAGAAAGGGACUAUUUCUUUCAGUCUUCCAGAAGAGCCCACAAUGCACACGGGUGUAAGAAAGAAAAGCCACAUUUUCUACAAGCAUGCUUCUCAUUUUCUGACUGCUCUUUCUUCCUAGGAGAAAACAAAGCUGGUUUGUGCUCAAAUACCACGUGUCCCCUUAAUUUAAGAGUUUCUGUGAUUCCUUUCGUCCAUAGCUGCCUACCCCCACCCACCCCCAUACAUGAUUUCUCAGAUGAGUUUCACUCAUUUCUUAAAAACCCUGUAGGGCCGCCAGAUGGCUUGAUCAAGUGUUGGUCCCAAUGAGUCAGUACGUGAAGACAGCUCUUUAGAGUGAGAUGCUGUUUGAACACAUGCCUUCCUUUAUAAAGGAAAGCAGGCACCCGGGCCCCUGGAUGUGUGGACAACAUUUAACAACCUGGUUAUUCGGGUUAGCCAUAUCGUGCAGUCCUUCUAAAAUAAAUAGUUUAAAAACUUGCAGAGCCUGCAGUGUAAAAGCUCAGUGCUUUAUAGAGAGAGGCAGUCUUUCUGUUCUCUCUCUGAGGGUCCUUCUCCUUUCUCCCAAGCACAUUUGUAUAUUCAGGUCCAAAGAGAGGGAAAUCCAAGGAGAUGCCCUGGGAGGGACUCUGUGGGUGUUUAUGGAAUCUACACACACACACACACACACACAGGCACGCACAUAACACGUGUUCCUUCGCAUUCUUUGUCCAUUUAUGGAAUCAGGCCUGUCUGUUUGCUUCAUACAUUUACUUCCUAGAGACGUUCAAGGCCAGUCACCUAAUAGCUCACAGUAACUCUUUUUUUUUUUCCUAUUUGUAAACACAAAGGCAGUUUUCCUUCCUCGAACAUAUCUGGAACGCAUUCUGAACGAUCCCCGGUGAUCCAAGGCGUGAUGUCGCUGUGCAGAAAUGCCAAACACCCUUGUCAGUUAUUGCAGGGAUCUCACCAUCUACUUAAAGAAGUUUUAUUACUGCCCUCCUUCUGUUACUGUUUCCUACAUAUCAAAUGAACUACUGUUGGUACCACUUCGCCCCCCUCCCUCCAGCCCCUCUAAAAUGUUGUUGAGUAUCUCUCUGACUUCUGAGAGAUGUCGACUACUAGGUGUCAUGAAUGCAGAGCUAAUUUUAAAGUAGGAGUGUUCCGAGACUAUUAACUAAAGAGAAGCACUUAAUUCGUUAUGUCAACCAGACCACCCCCCCCAACCCUGACUUAUUUCUUGGGUUCCUGCAGGCAUAGCAAAACCAGUUUGGAUUUCACACGAGUGCUAUCCUUACUGUGUGCAGGUUCCUUUCAAGCUGUUGAUUUUACUUCCUCAAGACAUUAGCUGAAGGUUAAUGCAGUUAAGUAAGGCUAAUCGUGCCUGGUUGUUUUGUCCUUGGAUCGUAAAGGCCACCAUUCAAACAAUGAUGCUUCAGAUGUCAUUUGAGAACCUUCCCUGAAAGCUGCGGCUCUUGUUUAUUCUUCUUUUCCUCUCCCAGUUCUUGUGCCUUUAGAAUACCCCUUCUGUUUUCCAGCAUGGUAAUUAUUUAUGGAAAUGGAUGGAAGCUCUUUCUCGGGUUCUGAUGGACCUAUGUGAGGGCUGUACUUUUGCUUUAUUCGGCCACUAAGUUCAGCCCUGUUAAGACCAUCAUCCACCUACAAAUCUGCUUCGUAUUGCAGAGCAUUGCUUUGGUGGAUCUUCUGGUCCCAUCUUGCCAUCUUUUUUGCCUUUUCUCCAGAGCUGGUUCAGAUACUAUGAUUUGCUCUGCUUGUGCACAAGACACAGAAGUGUGAUAAACCUCUGUAACAGAUCUGGGAAGUGAUUUUCUAAAGCUGACACUGGAAGGUGGGAAGGCACGUUUAAAACAUUUCCUGGGAGUUCCCGCUGUGGCUCAGUGGUUUAACAAAUCCAACUAGGAACCACGAGGUUGCGGGUUCUAUCCCUGGCCUUGCUCUGUGGGUUAAGGAUCCAGUGUUGCCGUGAGCUGUGGUGUAGGUUGCAGACGCGGCUCAGAUCCCGAAUUGCUGUGGCUCUGGCAUAGGCCGGCAGCUACAGCUCAGAUUAGACCCCUAGCCUGAGAAGCUCCAUACGCUGUGGGUGUGGCCCUAGAAAAGGC